Long non-coding RNA from Micropterus dolomieu (smallmouth bass), 387 nucleotides. RefSeq lists it as uncharacterized. The record is from RefSeq and is a predicted model, not a curated record. Lineage: Eukaryota; Metazoa; Chordata; Actinopteri; Centrarchiformes; Centrarchidae. The transcript has 3 exons.
UGAGCACCUGCCCUUCCAAAGGUCUCUGCACGGCCCAGUGCGGGACUAAGACGCAAGAAAAAGAUGCAAGUGAGGGAAACAUGGAUGCAAUUAAGAGACUUGAGAAGCACCAGUUGUGUAGUGGGUCAUUGGCCAAACACCAAUGCUUCAUGAAAUCCACAAGAAGUCACGGAAAGUAGUUGGAUCAUUCUGAUCCAGCUGCAAAGCUAAGGACAAACUUGUGAUUGAUGGGCAGACAAACACAGGCUUGUACCUGAAGGAUGGCCUGCACUACAGAAUCAUUCUGGAUAUUGGCCCUGUCCACACUGCUGGAUCCAAGAUGUAAAAAUCCAGUCAAACUCCAGGCUGCAUCAAAAGUAAAAAAAAAUCUCCUUUCCUAACCACCUU